RNAcentral lists this transfer RNA (72 nucleotides) under Marmota marmota marmota (Alpine marmot). It matches the Rfam family "tRNA". From Rfam's summary of the family: Transfer RNA (tRNA) molecules are approximately 80 nucleotides in length. Their secondary structure includes four short double-helical elements and three loops (D, anti-codon, and T loops). Lineage: Eukaryota; Metazoa; Chordata; Mammalia; Rodentia; Sciuridae. The record is from Rfam by way of RNAcentral. RNAcentral also lists the same sequence under 3 other names.
GGGAAUGUAGCUCAGGGGUAGAGUGUUAGCUUACCAUGCUGGAGGCCCUGGGUUCAAUCCCUGGUUAACCCG